RNAcentral lists this unclassified non-coding RNA (240 nucleotides) under soil metagenome. RNAcentral describes it as "partial contains 5.8S ribosomal RNA, internal transcribed spacer 2, and large subunit ribosomal RNA". The record is from RNAcentral.
AACACUGUUAACCUGCGGUACCUGCGGAGGGAUCAUUACAGAGUUCGUGCCCUCGCGGGUAGAUCUCCCACCCUUGUGUAUUCUCUACAUCUUGUUGCUUUGGCAGGCCGUUGGUUCGCCAACCACCGGCUCGCGGGCUGGUGCGUGCCUGCCAGAGGACCUCUCAAACUCGGUUUGUUAGUGUCGUCUGAGUACCAUAACAAUCGUUAAAACUUUUAGCAAUGGAUCUCAGAUCGGAAG